CAUUGGAGUUUGCACUGAACUCUAUCAUCUCUCAGUUGGCUUCUCCCGAGUAAUGGUAAAGAUUCGGAAGGACAGAAAGAAGAGGAUUCAUGACCUGGCCACUUCUUUUGUACCUUGAGCAAAUGCACCUUUCUUUUGGAAAUAAAAAAAGUUUUCUUUAUUUCAUUUCUUUGCAUGAUCUUCUAUUCUGAUCCUUCGAUAGCAUAGGACGAAUGACUCUUCAGCACCCACCCUAUG
Molecule: long non-coding RNA, 237 nt
Filed under: Elaeis guineensis (African oil palm)
Lineage: Eukaryota; Viridiplantae; Streptophyta; Magnoliopsida; Arecales; Arecaceae
Description: long non-coding RNA (EGUI_LNC003091)
Source: RNAcentral